AUCCCUUAUACAUACAUACAUAUCCUAUACAUAUUACAUAUACAUGUUACAUACAUAUUAUAUAUUUAUAGCUAUCCACUACACACUUAUUACGAUCCAGCGGCAGGCAACUGCAUCCUGAAGCCCGAUCAUGCAUGAUCGCUCAUAUGAGCGAGAAAGCAAUUCCAAAGUUUAUUAUGGACAUACAUAUGGACACAUGUGUGUGCAGC
This 209-nucleotide long non-coding RNA is filed under the name Volvox carteri. RNAcentral describes it as "long non-coding RNA (VCAR_LNC003806)". The record is from RNAcentral. Lineage: Eukaryota; Viridiplantae; Chlorophyta; Chlorophyceae; Chlamydomonadales; Volvocaceae.